RNAcentral lists this ribosomal RNA (468 nucleotides) under uncultured bacterium. RNAcentral's name for it is "partial 16S ribosomal RNA". It matches the Rfam family "Bacterial small subunit ribosomal RNA", at positions 28 to 507 of the family's 1533-position model. The record is from RNAcentral.
GACGAACGCUGGCGGCGUGCUUAACACAUGCAAGUCGAACGGGAAGGCCCUGCUUUUGUGGGGUGCUCGAGUGGCGAACGGGUGAGUAACACGUGAGUAACCUGCCCCUGACUUUGGGAUAACUUCAGGAAACUGGGGCUAAUACCGGAUAGGAGCUCCUGCUGCAUGGUGGGGGUUGGAAAGUUUCGGCGGUUGGGGAUGGAAUCGCGGCUUAUCAGCUUGUUGGUGGGGUAGUGGCUUACCAAGGCUUUGACGGGUAGCCGGCCUGAGAGGGUGACCGGCCACAUUGGGACUGAGAUGCGGCACAGACUCCUACGGGAGGCAGCAGUGGGGAAUAUUGCACAAGGGGCGGAAGCCUGAUGCAGCAACGCCGCGUGCGGGAUGACGGCCUUCGGGUUGUAAACCGCUUUCGCCUGUGACGAAGCGUGAGUGACGGUAAUGGGUAAAGAAGCACCGGCUAACUACGUG